Molecule: long non-coding RNA, 1708 nt
Organism: Salvia miltiorrhiza (redroot sage)
Lineage: Eukaryota; Viridiplantae; Streptophyta; Magnoliopsida; Lamiales; Lamiaceae
Exons: 4
Source: RefSeq, a predicted model, not a curated record
UAGCUAGUCAACCUCGUACGACUUGCAGCCAGAAGUUAACUGUGCGGGAUGCUCGAGCCGCCUCGUCAUUCUAUUGAUCCGGGAAAACAGCCUAGGGUGCAAACUUCUUUAUCAUCAAGUGGGUCUCGGCCAGUAUUCAGUCCCAGCGAGGAUGAGGUCGACCGUAAAUGGGUGAAGACGCUAGGCCGGAAGGAAAUCCACAAGAAUAUGAAGGAGUUUUUUAACAGUAUGUUUGAUAAACUGAAAUGUAAGGGCAAGGGAAAAUCUUCUUGACGGUCCACCCGAUGAUUACCGUCGAGCCAAGUCUGCACCAAGGAACACAGCGGAUGAUGAGGACAGAGAUGGUCCCCACGAUUUAUGUGCCCUCGAUUUUGGUGCCCGAAAUUCUUAUGCCUCUUAUUCGACCUAUGGGCCAGGUCAGAGCUACUAGACGCUGUCUCUGCACUAUUUUGAUGGAUCUGCCUUUGUCCAUCCUCGUUCUUCAUACCAAGGCUACGGCUCGAGUUAAAGCACCUCACUGACGAUGGACCCACCUCAAUAAACGAUGUCGGAGUAUAUGCCAGAUGGUCCGGUCUACUUUGCUGAGCCUCUUAGUUUUGCUCCACCAUUGUUGCGGAGUGAAUCUAGUUCAUCACGAGCGGCCCAGACGUCUAUUGAGUUCUAUGAGCGUCAUUUGAGUAUUAUGGAACCGCCAUAGGUGGAAGAGACCGAGGAGGCUCCUCAUUUGAGCGCCAUAGGCGGAGGAGGCUACUUGUCGCAGCCAGAAGUAGCGUCGUUCGUCUUCCUUCCAAAGCUCGCCUUGGGUUAAUAUAUCCUAUUGGCACGUCCAGUGCCUCUAGCAACAAGCCUUGCAUAUGACAAGUGGAUGGAUGCUUGUCGAGGUGGGAGGAAGCUUCAAGUGAUUGUUCAGGAGAGCGGUGGCAUACUAGAGUAUGCGAACUUCGAGCUAGUGGAAAAUCCGCGAAAAGAAUUCACGACCGGGGCUAUUGACUUAUACAUGAUGUCGCCGAGAAAUAGGCUUGUCAACGACCGGGACAUACUUGAUGGAGUCAAUAGUAAUAACACAAUCAUAGUAGACUCAGAUUGGUUUGGAGUAUCAUGUAUUGACCCAUCCCAAUACAGCUUAUAAUUGGCAGCCUCGCAUAGACUGGAUCUUCGUAAUACGUGGAGUUCCACUUCCAGAUUAACCACUUGCUCCCGGUUAGAGUGGAUGGUUGAAGGCGUCACAGGUGUUUGCUAGGUGUAUGACCCAGUAUCACACAAUCUUAAUGCCGCUGGUCGAUCUUACAGAGAGUGACGCAGCUACAUCCUCUUUUGAGAUUGUUGCCGCGUAUCCUUGCUCACACUAGAUGGUAUGAAGGCUCGUCGGUUGAUGCGACAAAGGCGCUUAUGAAGUGGCCAGUUAUGGAGUUGGUGUUCUCUCCCCUCGAGGUACAGUUUCAACAGCAGGACGCCAUCAGUUGUGGGGAUUUCAUCUGCGUGUAUGCAAAACGACUGAUAUCUGGCUCUCUAUCUAUGGAGUGGGGUAAUGAAAACGUGUUGGCUGAUAGGACUAAGAUUGUAAUACCUCGGAUUUUCGAUCCUAGGAUUCAUAUGGUUUUAUUGAUAUUAUUAGGAUGUGAUAGGUCCUUAAUUCCCGGUUAAAAAGAAUAAUUAUCCUUGCGGUAACUUAAUAAGACUUGAUGCCAAGGUUUUCUUUUAAGAAAAA